This 497-nucleotide ribosomal RNA is filed under the name uncultured bacterium. Its description in RNAcentral is "partial 16S ribosomal RNA". It matches the Rfam family "Bacterial small subunit ribosomal RNA", at positions 28 to 507 of the family's 1533-position model. The record is from RNAcentral.
GAUGAACGCUGGCGGCGUGCCUAAUACAUGCAAGUCGAGCGAACAGACGAGGAGCUUGCUCCUCUGACGUUAGCGGCGGACGGGUGAGUAACACGUGGAUAACCUACCUAUAAGACUGGGAUAACUUCGGGAAUCCGGAGCUAAUACCGGAUAAUAUAUUGAACCGCAUGGUUCAAUAGUGAAAGACGGUUUUGCUGUCACUUAUAGAUGGAUCCGCGCCGCAUUAGCUAGUUGGUAAGGUAACGGCUUACCAAGGCAACGAUGCGUAGCCGACCUGAGAGGGUGAUCGGCCACACUGGAACUGAGACACGGUCCAGACUCCUACGGGAGGCAGCAGUAGGGAAUCUUCCGCAAUGGGCGAAAGCCUGACGGAGCAACGCCGCGUGAGUGAUGAAGGUCUUCGGAUCGUAAAACUCUGUUAUUAGGGAAGAACAAAUGUGUAAGUAACUAUGCACGUCUUGACGGUACCUAAUCAGAAAGCCACGGCUAACUACGUG